UACGGAGGAUGCGAGCGUUAUCCGGAUUUAUUGGGUUUAAAGGGUGCGCAGGCGGCGUGUCAAGCAAGCGGUAAAAUAGCGGGGCUCAACCCCGUCGAGCCGUUUGAACUGGCGGGCUAGAGAGCAGGAGAGGGCGGCGGAACUCCAUGUGUAGCGGUAAAAUGCGUAGAUAUAUGGAAGAACACCAGUGGCGAAGGCGGCCGCCUGGCCUGUUACUGACGCUGAGGCACGAAAGCGUGGGGAGCAAACAGG
Molecule: ribosomal RNA, 252 nt
Filed under: uncultured bacterium
Lineage: Bacteria
Description: partial 16S ribosomal RNA
Rfam family: Bacterial small subunit ribosomal RNA
Source: RNAcentral